Drosophila montana is the source of this 3561-nucleotide long non-coding RNA. RefSeq lists it as uncharacterized. The transcript is spliced from 3 exons. The record is from RefSeq and is a predicted model, not a curated record. Lineage: Eukaryota; Metazoa; Arthropoda; Insecta; Diptera; Drosophilidae.
GUGUUUCGUUAUCAAUAAAGUGAAAUUUAGUUUUGAUUUCGUGUUUGUUGUUGUUAUUGAAAUUCAUUGAACCAAUUUUAAUAUUUUAUUUGCUGCAGCACGCACGGAAAACGGGACACGGGACAACAGGAGAGACAACUAACGCACGCAAAUUUUAGUGCCCGCCAGCCCCUCACCCUCGCCCCCUUCGCAGCCCCUGUAGCUGCUUCAAAAUUGAGUUAAAGCUGUGGGCAGCGAUUGCUGCAGUUUUGUUUUGCCCCGUCGCGAGACUCAUUUGUUUUUGUGUGUGCAGCAAUCGGUAGACAAUGCGUAAGGAUAUGCCAGCAAGGAUAUGCGAGACAGUCGAGACACACGCACACACACACGCACAUUUAAAAUUAUGCAAAUUUUAUUGCGCAAACUGCUGCGUGGCGUCGUCGCCGGCAGAGGAAGCAUGUUUUACAAAGUCUCGGACACAAAAAGGACCUUACACGGGCGUCGGCGUGCAGUGCAGUGCGCAUUGUGCAGGACGUGGCUGCCUUUAAAUGAAGAGCAAAGCUUUCAUUAUGGCAACAAUGUUCAAAUUAUUGAGCAGACGACCCUCGACCCCGCCAAGAAGAAGCAAAAGAAGAAGAAAAAAUGGCACCAGCAGCAACAGCAGUUGAACAAGAAGAAGAACAUCCUGAUAUCCCCACGCAGUGCACCAAGACUAACUAAAAAUGCACUUUAGUCCCUGCACCCGGAAUAUUGUGCCACAGUUGGUGGCAGCCAGCGUAGCGUGUAAAAUCGGCAAGGCGGCAUUUUGUGCUCGAGUGAAAAAUUGCUCAACUGUCGGUGGCCGGCACGGAAAUGCGCGCCUACAAGGCCGGGGGCAGCAAGCCGAGAAGUUCCGUAGCAGCAGCAAUGGCCGUACGUAGUCCAAGCCGACGACACUCCUAACCCAAAUCGCUUAGCGAGCGCGCCAAACAGUUUACAGUUGGCGAAUGGGCCAAAACAUCAGAAGCAGCAGCAGCAGCUGCAGCAGAAACAGCAGCAAUAGCAGCUGGGCUCCAAAUACCGGCACUGGCGCCAUCUAUCGGCAGUUGGCGAAUGAUAGCAGCCAUUUUGUUUAUGCUCGUCUCGCUCGCAGGCAUGCGGCGCACAUAACGCCAUCUCGCUCCUUCCAGUCACCUGCUCAAUGCGACUGCGUCGCUCUGGCAACGCCCACUCUCAGAGCGCAGCGUCUGCGCAUUUGCUAUACGCCGACGCUGAGCACAGAGCCACGCCCACCAAACAGCCAGACAGAGACACAAGCACACACACACAGCGAGCACACAUACACACAGCGGCUGCUUCCAGUGCGAGAAGAGCGUACGCCAGCUGGCUCGCUCUUUAAGAUGAUUUUCAACUCUGUUCAAAGCUUUUUUCAGCACGCGUAAAUUUUCAAAUUUGAAUUUGUGCGCCACAGGAAAGCAAAAAAAAAACCAAAGUGUAAAACAUGUUUUAGACAACAAAUUUGAAUUGUAUUGCAUGCUAAACAAGCAUCGCCUAAUUACAUAAACAAACAGCGAGCCUGAGCUCGGCGCGGUUCAUUACAGCAAUAAUUAUCGGCAUAAAAAGUGGAACGAUAAAGUUAAUUGGGAAUCGGUUUGAUUAGCAUGUGACGUAGCUGCCAUGUUUAAUAAACACUUUGCAUGCUUAUUAAAACUUAACUGUGAGCAUAACUUGUGAGCUGAUCAGCUGUUAUUGGCGCGCUCUCUCGCAAGCACGCUCUCUCACUUGCACACACACAACCAGACGCUGCUGUCGAUCGGACGUCUAUGUGUGUGUGUGUGUGCAUGCAAAUUGUUGGCGCUCUCUGGCGGCGCAUUCUCUUAGCUUAUUAUUCAUUUAUUUGUUUGUUUUAAUUUAAUGCUUUUUUGCGCGCAAGGCAGUUUUUGCUCGUGUUUUUUACUCGCUUGGCGAUUAACAUAAAAAUGCAUUGAGGUGACUUUUACUUUCAAGGUGAUCGAGAACAACAGCAACAACAACAACAACAACAAGAAGAACGAGAACAACAACAAAGUGCCAGUCAUGGGAGCUGCCUUUUAAUUAUGCUUAAGCCAAAGAGGGCGCUGCUGUCUGCCGCCGCAGGCAGGUGCUCGGCCAAAGUCCUGCGAGUCCUUCUUAGUGGCAUAUCAAUAAACUAUUUAGGCUCCCAACGGCUCUCGGCGAUCCGUUACAUUUUCAAUUUGGUCGCGUUACAUGCUAAUGACACGCUGUCGGCGUCGCGGUCGCCGUCGCCGUUGACGUCGUGAACUUGACCGUGGCUAUCAGCGUUAAGAGAUCUCUCUCAGCUUUUGCACUGGCCACGCAGACGGGCAAUUUUCGGAGCGAUCUAAGCGUGGACCCGUCCAUUAAUAAUGCUGCCCCGUCGCGUCGGGGUUCGCGUUGCGCUCCAGUGAACUCCAGUUCCAGCGAGGAGCUAGCUGGCAAAGUCUCCCGCCCGCUGCACUGCAUUUUGGGUUUUAGUUCACGCUCCGAUCCGGUUAUGAUACGCUCGAUGUAUCUCUGGUCGCUGCUCAGCGCAGCGUGCCGUGCAUUCCAUUGCAAUGGCCAGCUAAUGGAUAGAGCUGUUUCUGUGGCACCGGACUGGGAAUGCUAUGAUAAGCCAAGUUGUUCAAUUAGAAAUGCGAUUUGUGCUAAUCCCAAGACAUGCGAACAGCUGGCGAAAGUCACCCAGAUAAACCGACGAGCAGCACCUGUGCUAAUCAGUACGCCCCAAGGCAAAACUCUAACGAAUUCUAGUCAGCCGAGUAGCUGGCCCGCUUCUUGGAAUAAAUGACUGGGAUCAUCAACAACACUCACAACACCCAAACGUGACUCCCAACGCCGACUGCCAAAAAUGCUGCAAACGCACCCACAGCUGAGACGGAUACGGCGACGAAGGCGGAGACCCAACCGAAACCCACAGAGUUCCAUAAAAAUUAUACCAGUUCGCAGCAUAAUCUGGCAGACAUGUGUGAAUUUGCGGCAUUAUCUGCUAGCCAAGAUCUGUUUCAGUUCAACAACAAAAGCAACAACAACAAACUUUGUUCGGAUCGCGCUCGCUCGCCAGUUUUUCCCACAGUCGAUCAACAUAAAAUGAGAUAUGAAGAGAUAUUUGACAGUUACGUGAUUUCUUUCUCGGUUCACCUUUGCGUUUUACUUCAUGUUUAUAAUUUUUAUUUUUAUUUGUAUUUUUUUAUUGUGCAAAUUGCAGCAGCAGCAGCAACAACAACAACAAAAGCAUAGACAAAUCCAGGGCAGUUCACGCCGCCAGAUGGCGCUGCCUUAGUGAAGCCACAAACCCAACGAGCCCCCCCAAAAAUAUUAUUCAAUGCCUUGUUUAAGGACAUGCGUGCUGGCACCAGCCCGCCUCAAAGGAGCCCACGAACACCCUGAUGGAGUUCGUCCGGAGUUUCUGUGGAUUUAGUCGCUAUCGGCAACGAUUCGGGGGCGGACGUUGUCGGUCUUUGAUGCGUACAGCAAGUGCUGCUAUAUCAUAUUUAUCACGAUUAUUACAGAUAUUUUAUUUUCAAGACAGGAAAAUUUUAAUAUAUUAAUAUGUUAUUUUUUAUGAAU